CUAUCUUCAACAUCUUAAGCCAUCAAUAAAGGGGAGAGAAAACUGCACAAAUAAAUAUGAUUGAUACAUAUUUUUCUGGCACACAUUUAUCAUAGUAUCAUUACUAUGUUUCAUGACAAUAGAUUUUAUUAGGCAUGUGCAAUUUGUUUCGUUCCGAAUGUGAAUUUGGACGAAUUUCGGGCAAUUCGGACAUUCUGAUGCUUGU
This is a non-coding RNA of Pelobates cultripes (western spadefoot toad), 205 nucleotides long. NCBI's taxonomy places the organism in Eukaryota, Metazoa, Chordata, Amphibia, Anura, Pelobatidae. The record is from the annotation of a GenBank genome assembly.